This 158-nucleotide ribosomal RNA is filed under the name Clitopilus prunulus. RNAcentral's name for it is "5.8S ribosomal RNA". It matches the Rfam family "5.8S ribosomal RNA". From Rfam's summary of the family: 5.8S ribosomal RNA (5.8S rRNA) is a component of the large subunit of the eukaryotic ribosome. Lineage: Eukaryota; Fungi; Basidiomycota; Agaricomycetes; Agaricales; Entolomataceae. The record is from RNAcentral.
AACGGAUCUCUUGGCUCUCGCAUCGAUGAAGAACGCAGCGAAAUGCGAUAAGUAAUGUGAAUUGCAGAAUUCAGUGAAUCAUCGAAUCUUUGAACGCACCUUGCGCUCCUUGGUAUUCCGAGGAGCAUGCCUGUUUGAGUGUCAUUAAAUUCUCAACC